This 476-nucleotide ribosomal RNA is filed under the name Colotois pennaria. Its description in RNAcentral is "eukaryotic LSU rRNA". The record is from RNAcentral. Lineage: Eukaryota; Metazoa; Arthropoda; Insecta; Lepidoptera; Geometridae.
UUUUAGGGGAUUCAAGAGUACGUGAAACCGUCCAGGGGUAAACCUGCGAAACUCGAAUGAACGAACGGAGAGAUUCAUCGUCACUCCUCGGCGCACGUGCGUUAGUCGGAUGUCCGCGGUCUCGGCCGCGGGCACCUCUCGCGUACGUAGCGUCCGGGGACGGCGUGCACUUCUCUCUUAGUAAUACAUCGCGACCCGUUCGAUGUCGGUCUAAGUGCCUUUCGGGAGUCUCCGCACCCUCGCAGGUGUGGAUACCGUGAAGUGCACCGACCGGCCGUCGGACGGUAUAUCUAACGAAACGCUCACGCGCUCGCGCGCGUCCGUCCCGACGCAAGGUAACGUCGUCGCCCGCGUCCUGCCCGAGUGCGGACGUGGGUGCGGCGCGCCUGUCGUCGCAGCCGUGCUGUCUCGGACUGUGUGCGUAUCCGUCUGCGAUGAUUCAGUUUCGGCACUCGCAGGACCGUCUUGAAACACGA